This 576-nucleotide ribosomal RNA is filed under the name Triticum aestivum (bread wheat). RNAcentral describes it as "partial small subunit ribosomal RNA". Lineage: Eukaryota; Viridiplantae; Streptophyta; Magnoliopsida; Poales; Poaceae. The record is from RNAcentral.
AUGAGUCAUAAAACCAUUGAAGCCCCACCACCAUCAGUGUGUUGCCCUGAAACCAUUUGGGUUGUGCGACCCUGUGUCUGGGGCAUCGCGUUUUACAUCAGGAUCGAUCGCGAGGGGUCUUUCCAUACAUAUCCUCAUGUGGGUGGUCUGUUUCAGAACCUCCAGGAAACUCACAAUGCUAUUGAUCGUUAUCUUCAUGACCGCCAGCACCCAACAAUGUUUAAGCCUGGGCCUUCUCUUGUGGAGAUGGGUGUACAACGUUGUGUUUACUGGCCUGACGGCAGUAGGAAGGUGGCUUCUAAAUCUCAUCCAAUGGAUAUAAUCCGUAAUUGGACACACCAGUUGGCUCAAGCUCUGGAUUUUGCAUAUCAACUCAAAGAAGUCAUGCGCUGCCAAGCAAUUUGCGAGGGUGACGUCCUUAGUUUGUACUAUCACAUCAAUUUCACUGCAAUGGCACGAGGAGUUGACCAUGGCCCCAAGCUCUUUUUUGCUGAACUCACAUCUAUUAAGGGAGAGCAUGAACAGUUGGUGCCCAACUGUUUACUCAUGCUUCAACCUACUGACUAUGGUAAAUAA